GCAAAGACUAUGAUGGGGAGCAGUAACCCGCAAUGUGUGGCAGAGAGCCGCCGGGUGGUGCGAGGCGGUGACCGGUACGGGUGAACUCGCCCCGAAGUUGCCCGGGUUUACGCGCCGGGACGGUAUGAACCGUUAUCUCAUUAAGUGGUUAAGGUCCCGGGGCUGUGGCGCUAAAGGGAGCGUAUCCUACCAGCUCUACCAGACAGACUUUUUCAAUUAGGGUGGUAUCGCGGGAAAACCUCCCGUCCCUAGC
Molecule: non-coding RNA, 253 nt
Filed under: Peptococcaceae bacterium
Lineage: Bacteria; Bacillati; Bacillota; Clostridia; Eubacteriales; Peptococcaceae
Description: T-box sequence
Rfam family: T-box leader
About the family: Uncharged tRNA acts as the effector for transcription antitermination of genes in the T-box leader family. T-boxes are found upstream of many aminoacyl-tRNA synthetase genes and some amino acid biosynthetic genes usually in Gram-positive bacteria. The anticodon of a specific tRNA base pairs to a specifier sequence within the T-box motif, and the NCCA acceptor tail of the tRNA base pairs to a conserved bulge in the T-box antiterminator hairpin.
Source: RNAcentral